GCAAGAUUGGAACUCAAGGGAAUUGACGGGGGCCUACAACUAGUGGUGGAGCAUGUGGUUUAAUGCGAUAAUCCGCGCAAAACCUUACCAAUUUUUGAAUAAAAUAAUAAAAUAAAGUAGUCUUUAAAGACUGCUGAGUUAUGUAUUUUACAGGUGUUGCACGACUGUCGUCAGCUCGUGUCGUGAGAUGUUUGGUUAAUUCCUUUAACGAGCGCAACUCUUGUCUGUAAUCAGUUACAGAUUUUAAUCAUAAUGGUUUUAAAGAUACCGGUAAUGAUAAAUUUGAGAAAGGUGAGAAUUAAGUCAAGUCAAUGUGGCCCUUAUAAAUUGGGCUACACACGUGCUACAAUGAAAACUACAAAAAGUAACAAAAAUGCAAAUUUUAGUUAAUCUUUUAAAAGUUUUCUCAGUUCGGAUUGUAACCUGCAACUCGGUUACAUGAAGGUGGAAUCACUAGUAAUCGCAAAUCAGCAUGUUGCGGUGAAUAUGUUACUUGGCCUUGU
RNAcentral lists this ribosomal RNA (503 nucleotides) under uncultured phototrophic eukaryote. Its description in RNAcentral is "bacterial SSU rRNA". It matches the Rfam family "Bacterial small subunit ribosomal RNA", at positions 888 to 1384 of the family's 1533-position model. The record is from RNAcentral.